Long non-coding RNA from Oxyura jamaicensis (ruddy duck), 516 nucleotides. RefSeq lists it as uncharacterized. The transcript has 2 exons. The record is from RefSeq and is a predicted model, not a curated record. NCBI's taxonomy places the organism in Eukaryota, Metazoa, Chordata, Aves, Anseriformes, Anatidae.
UGGGGAACCGGUGGUUGGCUAGAGGAAAUAGCAAACUUGAAAGGAAAACCAAAAAGACGUAUUCUGGAAACUUGCUUCUGAGACUGUUUUUUAAAUCAUUUUCCUCUCCAAUUUCUCUUCCAACUAACCAGCUCUCCCCAAGUGCAAGCAAAUGUUUUUAUUUCAGAGGUCACAGGCUUAUGUAAGUGGUUGGAUGACAAGUGGUAAUAGGAGUGGUAGAGCGUGAUAACUUUUCUAGCCGGUGCACAAAAUGCUGGAAAAGACAGAGACUCAUCAGGCGUGGGUGUUUGGAGACAACGAGGAACUGGGGAGCCAGUUGACACAGCCACAUGAGGAGCACAGCACAUCUGAUGCGGGACACGGCCGUGCUUUGUCUUGUGCUGGAGCAUGGGUGCUCUGGUGGGACAGACCGAAGGAGGAACAUCAUCUCAGCGUUGACUCUUCCUGAUAGGGCUGAUGGAGCUGUUUUUCCAGUGAAUUUCCAGCUAGUCUGUUAAAAUAAACUUCUCCAUGCAA